This 204-nucleotide long non-coding RNA is filed under the name Mytilus galloprovincialis (Mediterranean mussel). Lineage: Eukaryota; Metazoa; Mollusca; Bivalvia; Mytilida; Mytilidae. The record is from RNAcentral.
GGUAUACGUUUCCUCCGAUCUGUCCAGUACCGAAAGUGCUUCAACACAUGAAUCGAUACAAUUGUCAGCUAAUUCUCGAAGCUCCUCAUUGGCCAAGACUACACAGGUAACCAGAACUGCUAAAAAUGAUAUCAGCACAUUAAAAUACCAGUUCCAAAAAAUCUACUAAAUCAGCCAAGAACAAAAAUAUACUAUCCAAGCCCA